Molecule: long non-coding RNA, 273 nt
Filed under: Fukomys damarensis (Damara mole-rat)
Lineage: Eukaryota; Metazoa; Chordata; Mammalia; Rodentia; Bathyergidae
Description: lncRNA (ENSFDAG00000031928.1)
Source: RNAcentral
GGGGCAGUGGCAAGGGGCUGAAGGAGAGCGACCCUUCUGCGUGUCCCUGCAGGUACCGUCCCGCUGCAGACCCUGCGCUGCUACAAUGACUACACCAGCCGCCUUGUGUGCAGCUGGGCAGACACCGAGACUGCUGGGCAGCUCAUCAACGUGACCCUCCAUCGCAGGCUAAAAGGGGACCAUCCCCAGCCAGUGUCCUGUGAACUCACGGAGAGCCUGCUCUGGUCACUGUGCCCAUCUCCGCCCUGUGUGCCUAGAAGAUGCCAUUCCCUA